This 497-nucleotide ribosomal RNA is filed under the name uncultured bacterium. RNAcentral's name for it is "partial 16S ribosomal RNA". It matches the Rfam family "Bacterial small subunit ribosomal RNA", at positions 28 to 507 of the family's 1533-position model. The record is from RNAcentral.
GAUGAACGCUGGCGGCGUGCCUAAUACAUGCAAGUCGAGCGAACAGACGCAGCUCUUGCUCCUGUUACGUUAGCGGCGGACGGGUGAGUAACACGUGGCUAACCUACCUAUAAGACUGGGACAACUUCGGGAAACCGGAGUUACUACCGGAAAAUAUAUCCAACCGCAUGGUUCUAGAGUGAAAGACGGGUUUUGUGUCACUUAUAGACGGAUCCGCGCCGCAUUAGCUAGUUGGUUAGGGAACGGCUUACCAAGGCAACGAUGCGUAGCCGACGUGAGAGAGUGAUAGGCGACACUAGAGCUGAGACAGGGUCCAGGGUCCUGCGAGAGGCAGCAGUAGGGUAUGUGACGCAGUAGGCGGAAACCUUGCGGAGCGGCGCCACGUCUGUGACGAAGAUCUUCCGUUCGUAAUGACGUGUUAUGGGGGGAGAACAAAUGUGUAUGUAUAUAAAGACAUCGUGACGGUACCUGAACAAAAAGCAACGGCUAACUACGUG